UACGGGGGGAGCAAGCGUUGUUCGGAUUUACUGGGCGUAAAGGGCGCGUAGGCGGUCGUGACAAGUCACUUGUGAAAUCUCCGGGCUUAACUCGGAACGGUCAAGUGAUACUGUCGGACUAGAGUACAGAAGGGGCAACUGGAAUUCUCGGUGUAGCGGUGAAAUGCGUAGAUAUCGGGAGGAACACCGGCGGCGAAGGCGGCUGCCUGGACCAGUCCUGACGCUGAGGCGCGAAAGCUAGGGGAGCAAACAGG
RNAcentral lists this ribosomal RNA (254 nucleotides) under uncultured bacterium. RNAcentral's name for it is "partial 16S ribosomal RNA". It matches the Rfam family "Bacterial small subunit ribosomal RNA", at positions 524 to 776 of the family's 1533-position model. The record is from RNAcentral.